GCCCUACGGGACGCAGCAGUAGGGAAUCUUUCACAAUGGGCGAAAGCCUGAUGGAGCAACGCCGCGUGCAGGAUGAAGGCCUUCGGGUUGUAAACUGCUUUUAUAAGCGAGAAAUAUGAUGGUAACUUAUGAAUAAGGAUCGCCUGACUACGUGCCAGCAGCCGCGGUAAUACGUAGGGAGCAAGCGUUAUCCGGAUUUAUUGGGUGUAAAGGGUGCGUAGGCGGGAAAUUAAGUUAGUUGUGAAAUCCCUCGGCUUAACUGAGGAACUGCAACUAAAACUGAUUUUCUUGAGUGUUGGAGAGGA
Molecule: ribosomal RNA, 305 nt
Filed under: uncultured bacterium
Lineage: Bacteria
Description: bacterial SSU rRNA
Rfam family: Bacterial small subunit ribosomal RNA
Source: RNAcentral